This 376-nucleotide RNase MRP RNA is filed under the name Meyerozyma guilliermondii ATCC 6260. RNAcentral describes it as "RNase MRP". It matches the Rfam family "RNase MRP". From Rfam's summary of the family: RNase MRP is an enzymatically active ribonucleoprotein with two distinct roles in eukaryotes. In mitochondria it plays a direct role in the initiation of mitochondrial DNA replication. The record is from Rfam by way of RNAcentral. Lineage: Eukaryota; Fungi; Ascomycota; Pichiomycetes; Serinales; Debaryomycetaceae.
UUCAUGGCCAAAGAUUUGUUUUCGAAGCUUACAAAAGGACUUUCGGGUCGUCAGUGCUUUGGGGAAAGUCUCCUGCCUAAACGCGGAAACGCAAUGGUCCCAUCAGACCAUUUGAACCAUUCAGAAUUUUAGAGGCGGACAACCCUUUACAACAUUUUGGCAAAUACUAACGAUUUCGUUGUGUCUAUUUUUAAAAUAGCUCUGGUAUUGGCCAUUUUGUAUGGUAUUGGACUCUGUUGUUUGGUAAAGCUCUUUAAUUUUGGCUGGUUCACAUCCCAUUUAUGGUGUACAUUCGGCAAUGGGACGGUGAAUCCUAAACGAUAGUUAUAACAAAUGAUCUACGAUCAACCCAAUGGAGCUCACUCUUGGACCAUGA